Molecule: ribosomal RNA, 494 nt
Filed under: uncultured bacterium
Lineage: Bacteria
Description: partial 16S ribosomal RNA
Rfam family: Bacterial small subunit ribosomal RNA
Source: RNAcentral
GACGAACGCUGGCGGCGUGCUUAACACAUGCAAGUCGAACGGUGAAGCGCCUUCCUUUUUGGUGGGUGUGGAUGAGUGGCGAACGGGUGAGUAACACGUGAGUAACCUGCCCCCUUCUUCUGGAUAACCGCAUGAAAGUGUGGCUAAUACGGGAUAUUCUGGGUCUGUCGCAUGAUGGGUCUGGGAAAGAUAUUGUUUCGGUGGGGGAUGGGCUCGCGGCCUAUCAGCUUGUUGGUGGGGUGAUGGCCUACCAAGGCGGUGACGGGUAGCCGGCCUGAGAGGGUGGACGGUCACACUGGUACUGAGACACGGCCCAGACUCCUACGGGAGGCAGCAGUGGGGAAUAUUGCACAAUGGGCGCAAGCCUGAUGCAGCGACCCCGCGUGAGGGAUGGAGGCCUUCGGGUUGUGAACCUCUUUCGCCAGUGAAGCAGGCCUGCCUCGUUUGUGGGUGGGUUGACGGUAGCUGGAUAAGAAGCGCCGGCUAACUACGUG